CCCCACUAUGCCCAGCCGUAAAAUUAAAAUUACAUUAUCAGCGCCCGGGAAUUACGAGCCAUGCUUAAAACCCAAAGGACUUGACGGUGUCCCAUACCAACUAGAGGAGCCUGUUCUAUAAUCGAUGACCCCCCGCUAUACCCCACCAUCCCUCGCUUAAUCAGUCUGUAUACCUCCGUCGAAAGUCCACCGUGUGAACGCAUCAGUGGGCAAAAUGAUUUCCAUCAACACGUCAGGUCAAGGUGCAGCUUACGAGAUGGUAAGUAAUGGGCUACAAUUUCUAAUCUAGAACAAACGAAAGACUGUGUGAAAUCACAGCCACGAAGGAGGAUUUAGUAGUAAAAAGAAAAUAGAGAGUUCUUUUUAAACCACGGCCCUGGGACGCGUACACACCGCCCGUCACCCUCUUCAAUAGUCUUAUAGUUAGUUCCAUAACCUCAUAUUUGCGCCUUAGAAGAGGCAAGUCGUAACAUGGUAAGUGUACUGGAAAGUGCCCUUGGUUAUAACAAAAUGUAGCUUAA
This 521-nucleotide ribosomal RNA is filed under the name Amolops spinapectoralis. RNAcentral describes it as "partial 12S ribosomal RNA". It matches the Rfam family "Bacterial small subunit ribosomal RNA", at positions 785 to 1533 of the family's 1533-position model. The record is from RNAcentral. Lineage: Eukaryota; Metazoa; Chordata; Amphibia; Anura; Ranidae.